UAGAGUUCAUGCCCUCACGGGUAGAUCUCCCACCCUUGAAUACUAUACCUUUGUUGCUUUGGCGGGCCGCCUCGGCUACCGGCUUCGGCUGGUGAGUGCCCGCCAGAGGACCCCAAACUCUGAAUUACAGUGUCGUCUGAGUACUAUAUAAUAGUUA
RNAcentral lists this unclassified non-coding RNA (157 nucleotides) under uncultured Helotiales. RNAcentral describes it as "sequence contains ITS1". Lineage: Eukaryota; Fungi; Ascomycota; Leotiomycetes; Helotiales. The record is from RNAcentral.